GGACUACCGGGGUAUCUAAUCCUGUUCGCUCCCCUAGCUUUCGCGCCUCAGCGUCAGAUGCCAGCCAGGACACUGCCUUCGCCUUUGGUAUUCCUCCGGAUAUCUACGCAUUUCACCACUCCACCCGGAAUUCUAUGUCCCUCUCUGGCCCUCAAGUCCGGCAGUUUUCAGAGGCCUUAUCCAGUUAAGCCGGAUACUGUCACUCUGAACUUACCGCACCGCCUGCACGCCCUUUACGCCCAGUAACUCCGGACAACGCUCGCCCCCUACGUAUUACCGCGGCUGCUGGCAC
This 292-nucleotide ribosomal RNA is filed under the name uncultured bacterium. RNAcentral's name for it is "partial 16S ribosomal RNA". The record is from RNAcentral.